RNAcentral lists this ribosomal RNA (458 nucleotides) under uncultured bacterium. RNAcentral's name for it is "partial 16S ribosomal RNA". It matches the Rfam family "Bacterial small subunit ribosomal RNA", at positions 338 to 795 of the family's 1533-position model. The record is from RNAcentral.
CCUACGGGAGGCAGCAGUGAGGAAUAUUGGUCAAUGGGCGAGAGCCUGAACCAGCCAAGUCGCGUGAGGGAGUACUGCCCUAUGGGUUGUAAACCUCUUUUGUCGGGGAGCAAAAGCCGGACGUGUCCGGCUGUGAGAGUACCCGAAGAAAAAGCAUCGGCUAACUCCGUGCCAGCAGCCGCGGUAAUACGGAGGAUGCGAGCGUUAUCCGGAUUUAUUGGGUUUAAAGGGUGCGCAGGCGGAUUUUUAAGUCAGCGGUAAAAUCGUGGGGCUCAACCCCAUCCAGCCGUUGAAACUGGGGAUCUAGAGUGUGUGAGAGGUAUGCGGAAUGCGUGGUGUAGCGGUGAAAUGCAUAGAUAUCACGCAGAACCCCGAUUGCGAAGGCAGCAUACCGGUGCACAACUGACGCUCAGGCACGAAAGCGUGGGUAUCGAACAGGAUUAGAUACCCUAGUAGUC